GCUGCCCGCCCCCAUGCUGCAGCUGCAAGAUGGUUCCUUCCUUUCUCCUCUGCACGCUGCCUGGAGAGAUGGCGGCUUCUUUUCUGCACACGGAUAUUGUGCAGCACGUCUUUCAGUUUUUGAGAACAUUUCUGAUUUCCUGAGAAAGUCUCGAGUGUGCAGAGCAGAGCUGAAGUGGAGACCCGUAUCUGCCAUCCUUCCCGUGUUUGGCAGCCCCUUGGUGGCUUCUCUCAUUUGUUCCAUUUCCCACUGCUCUCCUGUCCCUAUUUUCUGAAUUUUUGGUAAGGUCUGUGCCAUGAGCAGCCUCAUUGGUUUUCUCUAUAUAUCUUUAUUUCACUUAUCCACUUGUAAAAAAGCCGUGAUUCUCUUGUCUAUGGACAGACAACAAACUCAUUCUUUGAGGCUCAACCCAGAAGCCAUCUUCUAUUGAAAUCCUUCCCACACAAGUCAAAUGCUUCCCUGGAACUCCUCCAGCAUGACUGUUGGAACCGUUUCUGUGGCAGCCAUAAAAGCUGUCACUACCAAAAUGGGUUCACUUAUGUGAAAACCCAAACAAAUGGAAUCAGGAGGUCACCCAUGGAGGCUCUUCAUGAAGUUGCUUGAUAAUAGGACCUAUUCAAGAGAUUCUACCUGAGAACUGCCCUACACAGAGAACCAAGACCUUGCACUAAGGCAGUCACUAUGAGGACAUCUGCUUAGCAACGGCCUAUUCACCUUGGAUGGAUGCCGCCUUUGUUAUGAGUCCUUGUCACCAAGGAUUAUUGUUCCAAACAACUUAUGUAAUCCUCUGUAUUUUGCUUUUACAAACCUUUUCUUUCCUUUUCCUCCCUGGGUACACCAUGUCUCCACCAUGGCUCACCAUGACAUUUGUACCUGGAUUUGCAAAACCCUACCUUAUUCCUGAAUGAACUCAUUUUUUCUUUUGAGUCUCCCUGUUUGUUAUUUAGGUUAAACCAUCAUUCUCUCUUCCUUAUUGUUAGGACCAUUUGUGCACACCUAGUUUUCCCUACCAAUCUGUGAGCUCCUGGAAGGAGGAGACUACCUCCUCAAACACUCUUGAAUAGAGAGGUCAGUACCCAGUACAAAAUAAGAGAUUGGUUAUUUCUUAUUGAGUGCAUGAAUAUAGUCCCUAAGGAGUUAUGCACUGACACGAGCAAAUUGCAGUCUCUCUGCAUCUCUAUCUCUGACCUGGGGCUCCAGAGGUAGCGUACCUGGCAUGGCAGUAGAAAUUAUGGACUCUCCCUCUCCCUUGACUAGGUUAAACUGGCCAGAGGCUUGUCAACAAGAGCCCUGAUGAAAUGAAGCCACAUCCUUUUAUGAGCACUUGGCAGUAUAUGACGGUUUCAGUUCUGAUCCAACCUCCAAGACAGCCCACAUGUCUGCUCUUCUAGGACCUGCAUCCUGUGUGCAAAGGCAAUUGUGGCAUAAUGGGAAGAGUGCUGAACGGGGACUAAGAGGACACAGUUCUUCUUGCUGGAAAGUAGACAAGAUAUCUGGAACUUCAGGAACCAUCUUAUGACUUUGAGACAGGACGGGAUGCACUUGGUAUAGUAUCGAACUUAGUUGUGUUACCCUUCAAGCCCUGAACUGCUUACUUUUGUAUUUCAUUUUGUAUGAAAGAAUAGCACUUGAUAUGUUCAAGCUACUGUCAUCUGGUUUCUAUUAUUGGUAGCUAGAUGUAAUUCCUAGCUUAUUCAGCUCUGGCUUUUGGAAAUUUUAUUAUAAGCUAAUUCAGUUGAGCUCUCUUUCCACCCAGGAAGGACUCUUACAUCUGUGUUACUGUAAGCUUGGGAGCUCCAUGAGAAGAGGGAAUGUGACUAUUCUGUUCACUCAUGUUUCCUCAGUGCCUAGCACACUGCCUGACACUUGGCAGAUGGCUCAGUAAAUACUUGAUGUGUGAAUGAAUGAAUAAUACAGCAUACUUUCUUCAAAUGGAGGUCAUAAAAUAUCCAACAGAAUCAGCAACUAUACAAUUAUUGGGCAGCCAAUGUUUCAAUGAUUAACUGAAGAUUCUGCUUACCUGAGAGCCUGUAUAUGAUUACAAAUCUGCAUGAAAUAAGAAAAAAUAAUAUUUUUCAAUAGUUUGAUGUGUGAUAUUCAUAAGCAAUUUCAUUAAUAUAAACUUUAGCUGUAGUAAUAAUGCUUCUUUACUAUGUCUUAGUUUGAGAACACUUUUCACAUCAACUCAUUGAUACCUGACAGCUUGGUGGUGGGAUAGUAGGAACUUUU
This is a long non-coding RNA of Marmota monax (woodchuck), 2229 nucleotides long. RefSeq lists it as uncharacterized. The record is from RefSeq and is a predicted model, not a curated record. Lineage: Eukaryota; Metazoa; Chordata; Mammalia; Rodentia; Sciuridae. The transcript has 4 exons.